This is a long non-coding RNA of Vombatus ursinus (common wombat), 895 nucleotides long. RefSeq lists it as uncharacterized. The transcript has 3 exons. The record is from RefSeq and is a predicted model, not a curated record. Lineage: Eukaryota; Metazoa; Chordata; Mammalia; Diprotodontia; Vombatidae.
AGAGCUGGGAGCGAAAGUGGCCAAGCACGACGCGUUGCCGAUUCUGCACUACUGUCGCGAGCCCAGCAGAUACGGGGAGCUACUGUCUCAGAAGGAGGCAGCUUGAGGCUCAUUUAAAGGAGCACAGAGACAUGCUCUCCAAACAGAAAUGGAUAUAGGGACAAUCACUCAAGGCCAGGAGCAGCUUCAGGGAGUGUGAUUCUUGGCAGCAGAGAAGAGAAAGAUCUGUGGACCUGGAAGAGAGCUAGCCCUGGCAAGCUCCAGCUGAGUUGCAGAGAAGACUUCCCUGGCAGAGGACUUCCCUGGGAGAGAACUUCCAGCCCACCCAGUCCCAGAGUUGCAUUCAUUCAUCCUUUCUACACUUUCACAGCUGAACAGCACCUGGGCAUUGGCCCAAGAGUUUGGGAGUGGGAAGGAUAAAGAGGUGAAUUCCAGACCAGUUGAUGCAAGAGAGCAACAGACUUGAACUGAAUGUAUAAUUAACUCCACAGUUGUCACAAUGUGCCUCACGGCACCCAGGAACCCACUGGGGCAUUGAAGACUAUUUUAAAAUUUCAACUUACUUACUAACUGGAAUUGUUAGGUAUUUCUUUUGCCUUAGAGAUACUGAAAAAAUCACUGAUUCACUAAGGGUAACUCCAGGUUAAUCUAUAACCUCCUCCAAGACAAAGAAGUAUGGUUGUUCUAUUCCACAUAUAUUCUUCUUUGUGACUUCAUUUCCCCCUUCAAAACUGUCUUGCUAUCAUUGGUGGAUGGAGAUUAAAAAAAAAAGAUGCAAAAGGAGAUAGGAUUUGAAAGAAUUUUGCUCCAAACCAUCAUGAAAUCCACAGUAAUGUCUUUAAAAAAUUUAGAUACUAGGGGGCAGCUAGGUGGUGAAGUGGAUAGCACACCAGCC